CUGAGGCUGAUUAAGCUGUUUCUUUACUCUUGGGAGUUCAGUGUACAAUGGUUACAAACAACGACCUCCUUGGUAGUACCCAUUUUUUGUAUAGGUUUCCCUAAGGAACCUUGGAGACGGUG
RNAcentral lists this small nucleolar RNA (122 nucleotides) under Sciurus vulgaris (Eurasian red squirrel). RNAcentral's name for it is "Small nucleolar RNA SNORA70 (ENSSVLG00005019631.1)". It matches the Rfam family "Small nucleolar RNA SNORA70". Rfam says of the family: snoRNA U70 seems to be exclusive to mammals and is a member of the H/ACA class of snoRNA which contain H (ANANNA) and ACA box motifs. The record is from Rfam by way of RNAcentral. Lineage: Eukaryota; Metazoa; Chordata; Mammalia; Rodentia; Sciuridae.